AGUGAACGCUGGCGGUAGGCCUAACACAUGCAAGUCGAACGGCAGCACAGUAAGAGCUUGCUCUUACGGGUGGCGAGUGGCGGACGGGUGAGGAAUACAUCGGAAUCUACUUUUUCGUGGAGGAUAACGUAGGGAAACUUACGCUAAUACCGCAUACGACCUACGGGUGAAAGCAGGGGAUCUUCGGACCUUGCGCGAUUGAAUGAGCCGAUGUCGGAUUAGCUAGUUGGCGGGGUAAAGGCCCACCAAGGCGACGAUCCGUAGCUGGCCUGAGAGGAUGAUCAGCCACACUGGAACUGAGACACGGUCCAGACUCCUACGGGAGGCAGCAGUGGGGAAUAUUGGACAAUGGGCGCAAGCCUGAUCCAGCCAUACCGCGUGGGUGAAGAAGGCCUUCGGGUUGUAAAGCCCUUUUGUUGGGAAAGAAAAGCAGCAGGUUAAUACCCCGCUGUUCUGACGGUACCCAAAGAAUAAGCACCGGCUAACUUCGUG
Molecule: ribosomal RNA, 492 nt
Filed under: uncultured bacterium
Lineage: Bacteria
Description: partial 16S ribosomal RNA
Rfam family: Bacterial small subunit ribosomal RNA
Source: RNAcentral